GACUUGGCGAGGCCGGCGUCGUAGUUCAUCGAGAGGUCCGCAGGGCGGUACAGCCCGAAGGAGCGCUCCGAGGUGGGGCCGGGCUUGAGGUUCUCGUCGUACAGCGCGAAGAGGUACGUCUCCACAGGCUUCCCCGGCAUCAGCGGCGUCCCCACCAUGGAGCGGAGGUGCGCCACCAGGUUGGCGGUGUAGGUCCGAGCGUUCUCCACGCCGGCGCCGGCCUCGCCGGGGUCCCCCUUGUAAGGCCAGCCCGUCUCGGCGACGACGAUCUCCACGGCGGCGAAGCCCUCCCGGUUCAUCGCCGAGCGGACGGCGUCCACCUGGGCGUCGAACAUGUUGGUGUAGGU
This 347-nucleotide long non-coding RNA is filed under the name Spirodela polyrhiza (greater duckweed). RNAcentral describes it as "long non-coding RNA (SPOL_LNC001315)". The record is from RNAcentral. Lineage: Eukaryota; Viridiplantae; Streptophyta; Magnoliopsida; Alismatales; Araceae.